CUUGUUCAGUUCAUAUAUCCAAAAAGAAGAAUGGGAGGAAACAAAAUGGUUCCUCGUCCAUCCUGUUCACUAAAUUUCAUGUACCACUCGAUCGGUUCAAGCGCUUUCAUGACCUUCAGUGUUGCACUGGAGGUUUCAAAAACACCUAAUAUCAACAUAAAUCAAGGACAAAGAUGAAGGCUCAAAAACCAGAGAAAAAAGUUACAUUCCUCGUCUCCAAUAGGAGGGAAAUCAAUGCCUUGACAACAGCAUAAUUUUCACAACAAAACAACAAACAUCACAAAUGGUGUGACCUAUAUUCUCAGCUGCGUACAACCAAGAAUUGUACCACGGCACUUUGUCAUUGGAGCUGCCUGUCGCCAAGUUGGUCUCUCACCCCCAACUGUCAAGAUAUC
RNAcentral lists this unclassified non-coding RNA (395 nucleotides) under Hevea brasiliensis (rubber tree). Lineage: Eukaryota; Viridiplantae; Streptophyta; Magnoliopsida; Malpighiales; Euphorbiaceae. The record is from RNAcentral.